Molecule: ribosomal RNA, 772 nt
Filed under: uncultured bacterium
Lineage: Bacteria
Description: bacterial SSU rRNA
Rfam family: Bacterial small subunit ribosomal RNA
Source: RNAcentral
AGAGUUUGAUUCUGGCUCAGAACGAACGCUGGCGGCGCGCCUAAUACAUGCAAGUCGAACGAGAAUGUGUAGCAAUACACAUGUACAGUGGCGAACGGGUGAGGACUACAUGGGUAACCUACCCUCGAGUGGGGAAUAACUAGCCGAAAGGUUAGCUAAUACCGCGUACGCUUCCCAGACUGCGGUUUGGGAAGGAAAGCGAUACCGUGGGUAUCGCGCUCUUGGAUGGGCUCAUGCCCUAUCAGCUUGUUGGUGAGGUAACGGCUCACCAAGGCUUCGACGGGUAGCUGAUCUGAGAGGAUGAUCAGCCACACUGGCACUGCGACACGGGCCAGACUCCUACGGGAGGCAGCAGUAAGGAAUAUUGCGCAAUGGGCGAAAGCCUGACGCAGCGACGCCGCGUGGGGGAUGAAGGUCUUCGGAUUGUAAACCCCUUUCGGGAGGGAAGAUGGGAUGGGGUAACCCAUUCGGACGGUACCUCCAGAAGCAGCCACGGCUAACUUCGUGCCAGCAGCCGCGGUAAUACGAAGGUGGCAAGCGUUGUUCGGAUUUACUGGGCGUACAGGGAGCGUAGGCGGUUGGAUAAGCCCUCCGUGAAAUCUCCAGGCUUAACCUGGAAAGUGCAGAGGGGACUGUUCAGCUAGAGGAUGGGAGAGGAGCGCGGAAUUCCCGGUGUAGCGGUGAAAUGCGUAGAGAUCGGGAGGAAGGCCGGUGGCGAAGGCGGCGCUCUGGAACAUUUCUGACGCUGAGGCUCGAAAGCGUGGGGAGCAAA